UAUUGGUCAAUGGCCGAAAGGCUGAACCAGUCACCUAGAAGGACGGAUACAUUAAUUUGAUAAAGUCCUAACGGAAAGGAGGAUAAUGACUGUACUUUCCUAUUAAUCCCGACCAAUCUCGUGCCAGCAGUCGCGGUAAUACGAGAGGGGUAAGCAUUAUUCAUCAUUAAUGGGUCUAAAGGGUACGUAGGCUGUAUCAUAAGACUGAAAGGUAUCGAACUAAAUGAAUAAGAGUUUUUCAGUAACUAUGAAACUAGAGUGUAAUGGAGGAAAGAGGAACUCCGAGAGUAGGGAUGGAAUCUGUUGAUCCUCGGAAGACCGCUUAAGGCGAAGGCUUUUUUCUAACUAAACACUGACGUUGAGGGACGAAGG
Molecule: ribosomal RNA, 372 nt
Filed under: Rhizopus stolonifer
Lineage: Eukaryota; Fungi; Mucoromycota; Mucoromycetes; Mucorales; Rhizopodaceae
Description: bacterial SSU rRNA
Rfam family: Bacterial small subunit ribosomal RNA
Source: RNAcentral